CCGGAGCUUGCUCCACCGGAAAAAGAGGAGUGGCGAACGGGUGAGUAACACGUGGGUAACCUGCCCAUCAGAAGGGGAUAACACUUGGAAACAGGUGCUAAUACCGUAUAACAAUCGAAACCGCAUGGUUUUGAUUUGAAAGGCGCUUUCGGGUGUCGCUGAUGGAUGGACCCGCGGUGCAUUANCUAGUUGGUGAGGUAACGGCUCACCAAGGCCACGAUGCAUAGCCGACCUGAGAGGGUGAUCGGCCACAUUGGGACUGAGACACGGCCCAAACUCCUACGGGAGGCAGCAGUANGGAAUCUUCGGCAAUGGACGAAAGUCUGACCGAGCAACGCCGCGUGAGUGAAGAAGGUUUUCGGAUCGUAAAACUCUGUUGUUAGAGAANAACAAGGAUGANAGUAACUGUUCAUCCCUUGACGGUAUCUAACCAGAAAGCCACGGCUAACUACGUGCCAGCGAGCCGCGGUAAUACGUAGGUGGCAAGCGUUGUCCGGAUUUAUUGGGCGU
Molecule: ribosomal RNA, 510 nt
Filed under: uncultured bacterium
Lineage: Bacteria
Description: bacterial SSU rRNA
Rfam family: Bacterial small subunit ribosomal RNA
Source: RNAcentral